UAAAAUCCUAAAAAUCCAGACCGUGCUCCUCCCUAGUUCUCCGACGACUGGCCAGAUCACCAGUGGACCAGGACUCUUCUCUGAUAUCGGCAAGAAAGCCAAAGAUCUGCUAACGAGAGACUACAUAUCGGAGCCGAAGUUUUCUGUUUCAACCAGCAGUGUUUCCGGAGUUGUAUGUAUCGAUUCCACUUAACACAUGAACAUGGAGUAAACAACUUUAUGUGACAAGUGGAAUGUAAAGAGAAAGUUGUGGAGCAAGCAAAAGAAGCAGCAACACAAACUAGCUUAGAUAUUCUAUUGAAGUUGGAUGAAUGUAAAAAUGCAGCGCACCAUGAGAGGAAACAACAGACAAUUUUUGUGAAUUGUGUCAUCUUCACUCGACUAUAAACUGUAUUUUGCAUAUAAUAGAAUGUAUUUUUGUUUCUUUUGUUUUUUUAAAUUUUGUCUAUUGUUGCCAUUAAAAUUUACAAAUAUAAUUCUACAAAUAUAACUUAACGACAUAAUCAUUUAAUGCC
Molecule: long non-coding RNA, 515 nt
Filed under: Helianthus annuus (common sunflower)
Lineage: Eukaryota; Viridiplantae; Streptophyta; Magnoliopsida; Asterales; Asteraceae
Source: RNAcentral